AAGAUUUUAAGUUAAUUAAACUUAAAACCUUCAAAGUUUUAUAUAUAUAUAUAAAAAAUUAUUAAAUUAUUUAAAUCUUA
This 80-nucleotide transfer RNA is filed under the name Lasioglossum fulvicorne. Its description in RNAcentral is "tRNA-Trp". The record is from RNAcentral. Lineage: Eukaryota; Metazoa; Arthropoda; Insecta; Hymenoptera; Halictidae.